AUAAAGAUAGGACAGUCAGGAGUGUCCGUCGGGCUCAUAACCCGAAGGUCGGUGGUUCAAAUCCACCUCUCGCUA
This 75-nucleotide transfer RNA is filed under the name archaeon. RNAcentral's name for it is "tRNA-Met". The stretch from base 5 to 70 matches the Rfam family "tRNA", at positions 5 to 66 of the family's 71-position model. From Rfam's summary of the family: Transfer RNA (tRNA) molecules are approximately 80 nucleotides in length. The record is from RNAcentral.